Molecule: non-coding RNA, 130 nt
Filed under: Streptomyces kanasensis
Lineage: Bacteria; Bacillati; Actinomycetota; Actinomycetes; Kitasatosporales; Streptomycetaceae
Description: Streptomyces sp. ZX01 Streptomyces RNA 5676
Rfam family: Streptomyces RNA 5676
About the family: Identified by deep sequencing of transcriptome at the end of exponential growth phase. Appears longer on northern blot than sequencing transcript.
Source: Rfam by way of RNAcentral
GGAUGAGAGAAGAAAGCCGCUCGCAGGGGACUGCGGGCGGAUCCAGGUCGGGACCUCCCCAGUUCCGCCCUGGCCGUGCCCUCGCGCACCGCGCCGGCGCCUCUGGCUCCGGUACUCCUCACCGAUCGGA